GACGAACGCUGGCGGCGUGCUUAACACAUGCAAGUCGAACGGAAAGGCCCUGCUUUUGUGGGGGGCUCGAGUGGCGAACGGGGGAGUAACACGUGAGUAACCUGCCCUUGACUUUGGGAUAACUUGAGGGAACUGGGGCUAAUACCGGAUAUGAGCUCCUGCUGCAUGGUGGGGGUUGGAAGGUUUCGGCGGUUGGGGAUGGACUCGCGGCUUGUCAGCUUGGUGGUGGGGUAGUGGCUUACCAAGGCUUUGACGGGUAGCCGGCCUGAGAGGGUGACAGGCCACAUUGGGCCUGAGAUCCGGGCGAGACUCCUACGGGAGGCAGUAGUGGGGAAUAUUGCACAUGGGGCGGAAGCCUGAUGCAGGAACGCCGCGUGCUGGAUGACGGCCUUCGGGUUGUAAACCGUUUUCGCGUGUGACGAAGUGUGAGUGAGGGUAAUGGGUAAAGAAGCACCGGCUAACUACGUG
Molecule: ribosomal RNA, 468 nt
Filed under: uncultured bacterium
Lineage: Bacteria
Description: partial 16S ribosomal RNA
Rfam family: Bacterial small subunit ribosomal RNA
Source: RNAcentral